This 1247-nucleotide ribosomal RNA is filed under the name uncultured bacterium. RNAcentral describes it as "bacterial SSU rRNA". It matches the Rfam family "Bacterial small subunit ribosomal RNA", at positions 152 to 1399 of the family's 1533-position model. The record is from RNAcentral.
GGAAACGACUGCUAAGACUGGAUAGGAAAUUAGAAGGCAUCUUUUAUUUUUAAAAGACCUUUUUCGAAAGGUAUACUUAAAGAGGGGCUUGCGGCACAUUAGUUAGUUGGUAGGGUAAAAGCCUACCAAGACCAUGAUGUGUAGCUGGACUGAGAGGUUGAACAGCCACAUUGGGACUGAGACACGGCCCAAACUCCUACGGGAGGCAGCAGUAGGGAAUUUUCGGCAAUGGAGGAAACUCUGACCGAGCAACGCCGCGUGAACGAUGAAGUAUUUCGGUAUGUAAAGUUCUUUUAUUGGAGAAGAAAAAAUAGUGGAAAAACUAUCUUGACGAUAUUCAAUGAAUAAGCCCCGGCAAACUAUGUGCCAGCAGCCGCGGUAAUACAUAGGGGGCGAGCGUUAUCCGGAAUUAUUGGGCGUAAAGGGUGCGUAGGCGGUAUGGUAAGUCUAUAGUUUAAUUUCAGUGCUUAACGCUGUUCUGCUAUAGAAACUAUCAGACUAGAGUGAGAUAGAGGCAAGUGGAAUUCCAUGUGUAGCGGUAAAAUGCGUAAAUAUAUGGAGGAACACCAGAGGCGUAGGCGGCUUGCUGGGUCUUUACUGACGCUGAGGCACGAAAGCGUGGGGAGCAAACAGGAUUAGAUACCCUGGUAGUCCACGCCGUAAACGAUGAGUACUAAGUGUCGGGGAAACUCGGUACUGAAGUUAACACAUUAAGUACUCCGCCUGAGUAGUACGUACGCAAGUAUGAAACUUAAAGGAAUUGACGGGACUCCGCACAAGCGGUGGAUCAUGUUGUUUAAUUCGAAGAUACACGAAAAACCUUACCAGGUCUCGACAUACUCUGCAAAGCUAUAGCAAUAUAGUGGAGGUUAUCAGGGAUACAGGUGGUGCAUGGUUGUCGUCAGCUCGUGUCGUGAGAUGUUAGGUUAAGUCCUAAAACGAGCGCAACCCUUGUCACUAGUUGCCAGCAUGUUAUGAUGGGCACUUUAGUGAGACUGCCAAUGAGAAAUUGGAGGAAGGCGAGGAUCACGUCAAAUCAUCAUGCCCCUUAUGAUCUGGGCUACAAACGUGAUACAAUGGCUGUUACAAAGAGUAGCUAAAACGCGAGUUUAUAGCCAAUCUCAUAAAAGCAGUCUCAGUUCGGAUUGAAGUCUGCAACUCGACUUCAUGAAGUUGGAAUCGCUAGUAAUCGCGAAUCAGCAUGUCGCGGUGAAUACGUUCGCGGGGUUUGUACACACCGCCCGUCA